CUAAGGAUGGAUCACCAUAACUUUGUAAAUACAAAUCGUAUUGGUUUGUAUUCGUCCGCUACUCUUUAUUACACUAGUUAGCUAUGCUAAAAGUCGAUAAAAAGUUUAUUAAAUACAAAAUAUGACGUUAAACAAGCAAUUUUAAAAAGUGAUCGAUUUUGCACCGUGAAAAAAGUGCGGGGCAAGAUGGGUCACCUUUUAAGUAAUUCACAUUUUCUCAACGAAAAACGUCAAAAUAUGAGAUUUGUUCGGCAUUCAUAUAUGCUCCAUAUCCAUACUGAGUAAACAAGAGCUACUAGUGAACAUUUUAUAAAUUUAUUUGGAAUAUAAAAAACUUUACGAUUUGAGUGGUCCUAAGGCGACUUGAAAAUCGAUGUUUUCACUAAAAAAAUAUCAUAAUUUUAUGUUAUAAUUUUGAGCGUUUAUUCCGCUUGAUUGAAGUCAUUUAUGAGAUAGUCUUGUAAUAAAAAAUAAAUAACUUUGGAAUGCUCCAAAAAUUGUAAUUGUAAUUGUAAUUGCUCAGUCCACACCCAGGCCGACAACUGUCAGCCCAUCUGCUUGUAGGCAGAUGUGGACCUACUAAGCCUCCCCCGUUAACAUGUCCUACACCGAAUUAGCACACCGGGAUCUUCCACAGGCAGGCGCUGGCGUUAGGGUUCAUUCACAAAUAUCAUAACGCCACAAUUGGCCUAUUUUAACACCCACCCACCCCUUCGUAACACUGUUUGUAUGGGAAGAAAAAUUAUUUGUUCGAGCUGUAACACCACGAUGGACACCCACCCACCCCCUCGAGCGUUAUGACAUUUGUGAACAAGCCCUUACCAGUCCCAACAAGUGUCAGAUACAUUGAAUAGAGAAGGUAGAGGAUAUAGGAAGAUGUGGGACUAGGAUGGGAAGAGGUAGAAAAUGAAGAGAUAGUAGAGAGGUUUCGAUUUUGUUGCUGAAACGAGAAAAAGAAAGAAUGAUAAAGAACAUUAGCGAUAUGUUCAUAGAUUAUGAUUUGGUCGAUAAUUUCUCAUCUAUUUUGUUUCCAUAUCGUUGCAUCGGUGACCAUUUUCAUCGCCUUUCUAGUUUUUGUUAGGGCCAUCUCGCGUUUUUCGUCAUGUCCUCUUUGCCGGUUGGCGACGUUCGGGAUGUAAGUAGAAAAGCAUGCAUUUAAUAUGAUUAGUACGACAGUAAUUGUGAUUGCUCAGUACUUCCAGCCCAUUUGUCCGCAGUACAUAUCAGGCAUCCCGUUUUAACAAGUCCUACACAGAAUUAGAAACCCGGAUCUCCCACAGACAGUCCUAACUAGUGUCAGAUAAGUUCAAUUGAGGAUAGGAAGCGGCGAAAUGAGAAGACAGUUUGGUACAUUGGUAGCUGUGUUCAUGUGAUGUUUGUCUGGCAUUGAAAAACUAUUUUCCGUAGGUGUUUAACUCUCUACCCAAAAUUUAAUACCGGAAAAAUAUCUGAUCAGAUGUAUAGUUUGGCAAUUCUAUGUCCAUACAUCUUUUAUCAAGAAGGAAUAAUGUUGUUUACUGUUAUAAAAUAAUUCAGUUAAAGGGAGGCUAAUGCAUUGUAAUCCAGAAUAAACCUACAGAAAAUGUCCCAAUAAAAAGUUAACACUAGUUCAACUAACUACACAAACUAAAAAGUGUUGUUAUAUUUUACCAAUGAUUUCAUCCUAAUCUUGACCCUAACAUAGUUAUGCGCUUAGUGGACAAUGACCAAAAAUAGUCCUACGCGGAACAUUACUCUCUUCAUUCGGAUAGCGGCUAUAUAACCCAUUGGAUUAAAAACCUCCAUCAAACAUGAAGCGAUUAAUCGGAAACUGAAGACUCUAUACCAAAUUUGGCUCAGAGACAGGUAAUCAGUGAGGUCAGUUUUUCUCGUUUGUCAGAGACGAUUGAUACGUAUUAAGACAAACUUUCCACUGCAUCGGCCAGCAAUAAUCGGUGAUCGAUCAACAUUUCGAGUACCUACUCCAAUUUACACAAGAAUGCCAAGGAUCACCGCUCAUGCUUUACAAUACAGUUGGAAAAACUAGAGCAACACCUGGCCACAAUGAUGCAUAAAGCACUAAAGCGAACCGGAAGUGUCGGUGAGCCAGCCCCACCAACUUUGGAAUGCUCCAAAAAUACGUUCAAAAUUGAAGGUGACCCAUCUUGCCCCGCGGCCGUUUAUAUGGGGAUUAUAUGGAAUGUAUCACAUAAGAAAAAUGGCUAAAAACCAUUUUAUUUUUAAUUCCAAUGAGAGUGAAUAAUUUUUCAAUCAAUGCUCCAAACUUUUGUAUAUUCAUGCUGGUCAUCUAACAAAAUUAUUAACAUAACCCUCUAAUACCCAAUCCCGCCUUUAGACGGGGUAUAGUUUGAGCAUUUUUGUAAUUUUUGUUUCGUGGAAAAUCAUUUUUUUUAUAUUUUUGGCUGAUAUUUAGGACAGUUCUGUAUAUCUCCAAAUGGUUUUUGGUGUAUUUUAAAGCGUAUUUACAUUUUUUAAAAAUCCUUGAAAAAUUGAUGUUUUAGUCACCUUUUAGAAGUCAUUGUUUAUUUUGUAUUGAAUCGCUUCAAUUAACAUAUUUUAAAUUUUUCCCAAAUCAUUCUAUCCUUGUUUAAUAGUUUAAGGGAAUCGAAUACACUCUAAAAUUAUUUUCCUUAAAAUUACAUGGAAAAUAGAAUUUUCUGUGAAAAAAAAUUAAAAUAAUAAUAUUUCAACAAUAAUCAUAAAAUCUCAAAAUGUUUUCAUCUCAAAAAAUCCGUUCCCCUAAUUGGCUUCUAGGAAAAAUAUAAAAGUGUGGGGAUGUUCAAAAAUAAAAAUUAGAAAAAUCAAAAACUGAAAUUCACGAAAUCGAGAAUUAAAAAGAAUCAUCUUCCAAAACAUGUUUAAAUCGAUUUUAGAUGACGAAAAAUGAUAUUUAGAUCAAAAUAAAAAAUUUGGGUAUUAGAGGGAUAAUCAAAACAUAAGUAAUGCGCCCGAAAAUGGCACUGACCCACCUUGCCCCGCGACCCAUCUUGCCCCGCCCCACCCUACGUAUUUCGACCUCAACUGUAAGGUCGUCUUCAGUGUCUUGUACUUGACUCGACUCGGUAUGCAUAACACACUGAAAGACUUACCCGGACGCGGCAAAAAACAGGUGCGUCCAAGUCAAAUUUGGACAGCAAAACAUGCAAAAUCGUUGAAGGAAAAUAGGAGGUAUCCAUUAGAGAUUAAGCAAAAAAGUGUGAAACGACUGUUGGUACACGGAGAGAAAUCAAACUAGUUUGAAGCAACCAAAAUUUUAGUUGACGUUCAAAGUCUAAAUUUGGUUGUUCCAAGGUAAACAAUUAUUUGUUUCUAUGUUGUGGUCGCGAUUGAAACAAAUGAUUUUUCCAAGUAUUUUUUGCCCACAGGAUUUGUUUCUUCCAAAGUAGUACUUGCUUAGAUACAAACCAUGAUUACAAUUUUAAUCAAUCGCUGGCAUGUUUAUUUUUACCAAAUGUUAGGUUGACGAAAAUAGCUCAUGGUUGACAAAUACAACCUAGAUCUUAGGUUGGAUUAAAUUAAUAGAGGCAACAAAAAUUACCUAAAAAUUUGGUUGGGUGAAAUCCAAGCUAAGAAAAAGUUCGAAGCGAACUAAAAUAUUAGUUUGUUCACACCACACCUAGUUGCGUCGCGUCGGCCGGAUUCUUUGCUGUUUCAUUGUUGUCAUCGUGCGAGUUAUCGUGUACAUGGGAGCAAGAUUGGAAGUUCGAUUGGCGAGCUGGUCGAGCAUUUGCGACCAUUUCAGGACAGCUGUAUCAUCUGGAGGCGCCUCAGAAAAACCUUCAGCGUACGGAUUAUAACAAGGAAGGCGCAUCCAAUAACCGAUAAAUGUUCCGCCCGGCUUUUGCGUACUCAGGCGCAAUUUGCGAGAUUCGACGCUUUUCUUGGGGCGGAGAUCAUGGUUUCGGAAAUCCACCUGAUCCGGACACUAAAUGGCUACCGCCGUCGCCGUCACCGUCAACAGUCCGCUACUCCGUUACUCGUUGCAGUCUCUGGGACCAUCAGAAUCCUAACCCUGACCCUGAAUUACAGAAGUGGAUUGAUUUGUGGUACCGUGACAUCACUUAAUUCCAUCCACUUUUUUCGGUUCCUACUUCCAUUCACGCCAUUCGUUUUGCAUGAUGUGAAUGGAAUUAGGAACCAAAAAUGUAAUUGGAAUUGGGUGAUGUCUCGGUACACAAAAUGUAAGCCAAAUAGGAUAAAUAAUAACGUUUUCCUAUAGGAAUAAACGAAAGAUUGGCACGAAUAUUCGUUGUUUUAUUUUUUCAUUAUUUUUUUAUAAAAAACGAUAAGAAGAAGAUGGAGGGUUAGGGAAGCGUGAUCACACAAAAUAAUUUCAACAAACUUUUUGUUAAAUUUGAACUGCAGUGUUUGUUUGUUUGUAGCUGAUUUUUGCUAGAUUGAAACUACACAAUCUGGCUGAAAUAACAAAUGUUCUAGUUUGUUUCGAGAGCUGUCAAAACACAACAACCAAAAUAAUGGUAAGUUUUAACAAAAUUUGGUUGAAUUAACCUACUGAACCCUCAAAACAGUUACAUAAUAAUUUAGUUAGCUUUAACCAACGCCACCAGUUGAAAGAAACUAAGAUUUUGUUUGUGCAAAAAUCAACCUUGAAAUUAGGUUGGAUCUUGCUAAAUUUUGUUUGCAUUUACCAAAUAUUUUUCUCCGUGUAUGGUUCAACGCGCCAUGGAGCGUAAUUCCCCGAAGACCUACCCAAAACAGAAAUGUCCAAAACGCAGUCAAAUUCUGGCGGAUUAUGUGAAAACUCAGGCUUGGAAGCUGUACGACGAUGUUUUGAGCAAAAAUUGCAUGUGCUGUGCAUAUUCAUGGAUGAUGAAACGUAUGUCAAAUUGGACUACAACACGGAGAAAAAUAUUUGGUAAAUGCAAACAAAAUUUAGCAAGAUCCAACCUAAUUUCAAGGUUGAUUUUUGCACAAACAAAAUCUUAGUUUCUUUCAACUGGUGGCGUUGGUUAAAGCUAACUAAAUUAUUAUGUAACUGUUUUGAGGGUUCAGUAGGUUAAUUCAACCAAAUUUUGUUAAAACUUACCAUUAUUUUGGUUGUUGUGUUUUGACAGCUCUCGAAACAAACUAGAACAUUUGUUAUUUCAGCCAGAUUGUGUAGUUUCAAUCUAGCAAAAAUCAGCUACAAACAAACAAACACUGCAGUUCAAAUUUAACAAAAAGUUUGUUGAAAUUAUUUUGUGUGAUCACGCUUCCCUAACCCUCCAUCUUCUUCUUAUCGUUUUUUAUAAAAAAAUAAUGAAAAAAUAAAACAACGAAUAUUCGUGCCAAUCUUUCGUUUAUUCCUAUAGGAAAACGUUAUUAUUUAUCCUAUUUGGCUUACAUUUUGUGUACCGAGACAUCACCCAAUUCCAAUUACAUUUUUGGUUCCUAAUUCCAUUCACAUCAUGCAAAACGAAUGGCGUGAAUGGAAGUAGGAACCGAAAAAAGUGGAUGGAAUUAAGUGAUGUCACGGUACCACAAAUCAAUCCACUUCUGUAAUUCAGGGUCAGGGUUAGGAUUCUGAUGGUCCCAGAGACUGCAACGAGUAACGGAGUAGCGGACUGUUGACGGUGACGGCGACGGCGGUAGCCAUUUAGUGUCCGGAUCAGGUGGAUUUCCGAAACCAUGAUCUCCGCCCCAAGAAAAGCGUCGAAUCUCGCAAAUUGCGCCUGAGUACGCAAAAGCCGGGCGGAACAUUUAUCGGUUAUUGGAUGCGCCUUCCUUGUUAUAAUCUGGAAAGAGUUCAAAACUAAUUGAGAUAAAAAAAAUCAUGAACUAAUUAUGAAACUUACCCGUACGCUGAAGGUUUUUCUGAGGCGCCUCCAGAUGAUACAGCUGUCCUGAAAUGGUCGCAAAUGCUCGACCAGCUCGCCAAUCGAACUUCCAAUCUUGCUCCCAUGUACACGAUAACUCGCACGAUGACAACAAUGAAACAGCAAAGAAUCCGGCCGACGCGACGCAACUAGGUGUGGUGUGAACAAACUAAUAUUUUAGUUCGCUUCGAACUUUUUCUUAGCUUGGAUUUCACCCAACCAAAUUUUUAGGUAAUUUUUGUUGCCUCUAUUAAUUUAAUCCAACCUAAGAUCUAGGUUGUAUUUGUCAACCAUGAGCUAUUUUCGUCAACCUAACAUUUGGUAAAAAUAAACAUGCCAGCGAUUGAUUAAAAUUGUAAUCAUGGUUUGUAUCUAAGCAAGUACUACUUUGGAAGAAACAAAUCCUGUGGGCAAAAAAUACUUGGAAAAAUCAUUUGUUUCAAUCGCGACCACAACAUAGAAACAAAUAAUUGUUUACCUUGGAACAACCAAAUUUAGACUUUGAACGUCAACUAAAAUUGUGGUUGCUUCAAACUAGUUUGAUUUCUCUCCGUGAAGGUAUUUCCAGGGGCACGAAUUUUCUCUGUUAAGCAUGGCACGGAUGUUACGAAUUGGGAGAAAUCGAUUUUUUGCGAAAAAAAUGGGAAAAUGUGUUGGUUAGGCAAGCAAUUUGUCAAUGUGGUAUGAAAUCGUCACCUUUCUUCACCGUCCCAGGUAUGAACGUCGAAAUAUACCGGAAGGAAUGUCUCCAGAAACAUAUUCUGCCACUCAUCUGAAAGCACAAAGGUCCUACAUUACUUUGGCCGGAUUUGGCAUCCUGCCACUAUGCGCGUGACACCUUUGACAGGUAUGAAGUAAACAAUGUUCAAUUUGUGGAAAAGGCAAUGAAUCCUCUAAAUUGCCCGUAAAUAAGGCCCAUUGAGAAAUAGUUAACUUUGAUGAAA
This is a long non-coding RNA of Aedes albopictus (Asian tiger mosquito), 6760 nucleotides long. RefSeq lists it as uncharacterized. The record is from RefSeq and is a predicted model, not a curated record. Lineage: Eukaryota; Metazoa; Arthropoda; Insecta; Diptera; Culicidae. The transcript has 2 exons.